Molecule: ribosomal RNA, 497 nt
Filed under: uncultured bacterium
Lineage: Bacteria
Description: partial 16S ribosomal RNA
Rfam family: Bacterial small subunit ribosomal RNA
Source: RNAcentral
GAUGAACGCUGGCGGCGUGCCUAAUACAUGCAAGUCGAGCGAACGGACGAGAAGCUUGCUUCUCUGAUGUUAGCGGCGGACGGGUGAGUAACACGUGGAUAACCUACCUAUAAGACUGGGAUAACUUCGGGAAACCGGAGCUAAUACCUGAUAAUAUUUUGAACCGCAUGGUUCAAAAGUGAAAGACGGUCUUGCUGUCACUUAUAGAUGGAUCCGCGCUGCAUUAGCUAGUUGGUAAGGUAACGGCUUACCAAGGCAACGAUGCAUAGCCGACCUGAGAGGGUGAGCGGCCACACUGGAACUGAGACACGGUCCAGACUCAUACGGGAGGCAGCAGUAGGGAAUCUUCCGAAAUGGGCGAAAGCCUGACGGAGCAACGCCGCGUGAGUGAUGAAGGUCUUCGGAUCGUAAAACUCUGUUAUUAGGGAAGAACAGAUGUGUAAGUAACUGUGCACAUCUUGACGGUACCUAAUCAGAAAGCCACGGCUAACUACGUG